UACAUAGGGGGCAAGCGUUAUCCGGAAUUAUUGGGCGUAAAGGGUGCGUAGGCGGUCUGUUAAGUCUAAGGUGUAAGUUCAAGGCUCAACCUUGUGAUGCUUUAGAAACUGGUGGACUAGAGAUAGAUAGAGGCAAGUGGAAUUCCAUGUGUAGCGGUAAAAUGCGUAAAUAUAUGGAGGAACACCAGUGGCGAAGGCGGCUUGCUGGGUCUAUACUGACGCUGAGGCACGAAAGCGUGGGGAGCAAACAGGAUUAGAUACCCUGGUAGUCCACGCCGUAAACGAUGAGUACUAAGUGUUGGGGGAACCCAGUGCUGUAGUUAACAUAUUAAGUACUCCGCCUGAGUAGUACGUACGCAAGUAUGAA
This 367-nucleotide ribosomal RNA is filed under the name uncultured bacterium. RNAcentral describes it as "bacterial SSU rRNA". It matches the Rfam family "Bacterial small subunit ribosomal RNA", at positions 524 to 898 of the family's 1533-position model. The record is from RNAcentral.